GAUCAUGGCUCAGGAUGAACGCUAGCUACAGGCUUAACACAUGCAAGUCGAGGGGCAGCAGGACGAUAGCUUGCUAUUGUUGCUGGCGACCGGCGCACGGGUGAGUAACGCGUAUCCAACCUUCCCCUUAGUAGGGCAUAGCCCGGUGAAAAUCGGAUUAAUACCCUAUGUUGUGUCAUGAGGACAUCUGAAUAACACUAAAGAUUUAUCGCUAAGGGAUGGGGAUGCGUCCGAUUAGGUAGUCGGCGGGGUAACGGCCCACCGAGCCCUCGAUCGGUAGGGGUUCUGAGAGGAAGGUCCCCCACACUGGUACUGAGACACGGACCAGACUCCUACGGGAGGCAGCAGUGAGGAAUAUUGGUCAAUGGGCGUAAGCCUGAACCAGCCAAGUAGCCGUGCAGGAUGACGGCCCUAUGGGUUGUAAACUGCUUUUAUACGGGGAUAAAGUGAGGGACGUGUCCCUUAUUGUAGGUACCGUAUGAAUAAGGACCGGCUAAUUCCGUGCCAGCAGCUGC
This 515-nucleotide ribosomal RNA is filed under the name uncultured bacterium. RNAcentral's name for it is "bacterial SSU rRNA". It matches the Rfam family "Bacterial small subunit ribosomal RNA", at positions 15 to 518 of the family's 1533-position model. The record is from RNAcentral.